Molecule: ribosomal RNA, 253 nt
Filed under: uncultured bacterium
Lineage: Bacteria
Description: partial 16S ribosomal RNA
Rfam family: Bacterial small subunit ribosomal RNA
Source: RNAcentral
UACGUAGGGGGCGAGCGUUGUCCGGAUUCAUUGGGCGUAAAGGGCGCGUAGGCGGCGCAACAAGUCACUUGUGAAAUCUCCGGGCUUAACCCGGAGCGGCCAAGUGAUACUGUCGUGCUAGAGUGCGGAAGGGGCUACUGGAAUUCUCGGUGUAGCGGUGAAAUGCGUAGAUAUCGAGAGGAACACCUGCGGCGAAGGCGGGUAGCUGGGCCGACACUGACGCUGAGGCGCGAAAGCCAGGGGAGCGAACGGG